GACGAACGCUGGCGGCGUGCUUAACACAUGCAAGUCGAACGGAAAGGCCCUGCUUUUGUGGGGUGCUCGAGUGGCGAACGGGUGAGUAACACGUGCGUAACCUGCCCUUGACUUUGGGAUAACUUCAGGAAACUUGGGCUAAUACCGGAUAGGAGCUCCUGCUGCAUGGUGGGGGUUGGAAAGUUUCGGCGGUUGGGGAUGGACUCGCGGCUUAUCAGCUUGUUGGUGGGGUAGUGGCUUACCAAGGCUUUGACGGGUAGCCGGCCUGAGAGGGUGACCGGCCACAUUGGGACUGAGAUACGGACCAGACUCCUACGGGAGGCAGCAGUGGGGAAUAUUGCACAAUGGGCGGAAGCCUGAUGCAGCAACGCCGCGUGCGGGAUGACGGCCUUCGGGGUGUAAACCGAUUUCGCCUGUGACGAAGCGUGAGUGACGGUAAUGGGUAAAGAAGCACCGGCUAACUACGUG
RNAcentral lists this ribosomal RNA (468 nucleotides) under uncultured bacterium. RNAcentral describes it as "partial 16S ribosomal RNA". It matches the Rfam family "Bacterial small subunit ribosomal RNA", at positions 28 to 507 of the family's 1533-position model. The record is from RNAcentral.